This 1217-nucleotide long non-coding RNA is filed under the name Helianthus annuus (common sunflower). Its description in RNAcentral is "hypothetical non coding rna". The record is from RNAcentral. Lineage: Eukaryota; Viridiplantae; Streptophyta; Magnoliopsida; Asterales; Asteraceae.
GUGGUGCUUUUUGAGGGUUUGGUGGAGGAGGGGCGCUGGGGGUUGGCCGAUGGUCGUGGUGGCAGUGUGGGCCGGUGAUGGUGGUGGUGAUGAAUAAGGGCGGAGAUUGACCACCAUCGUCGCCAAUCUCUCUCUCUCUCUCCCAAGCUUCUCUAUUAGAGCAUUCACAUUCACUCCAUCAAAACUAUCACUAUCUCUAAAGUAUAAAAAAUGUUCUAAAAACUUACUCCAACCAGUCCAUUAUAUGUAUACCCUAACCUUAAAUAUUAAAAAAGAGGUACAGUAACUUUUUAUACAUAAAAAGCUCCUGUAGCUCCCCCAUUUCCAACAACCACACCUUCUCCCGCCCCUCUUUCUUCUGCACAUCGACUACCAUCAACAAAUUAAGCAAAACUACAAGUUCUCACUUCCCAGGUUCUGAUUUGUAAAUUGUGGAGGGUUCCGAGUUCGAUUUGUAAACAUAGGCAAUGAUGCGGCUUCUAUUGGAAACUAGGGUUCCGAUUUGAAAAUGAUUUUUCUUAAUCAGUGGAAAUAUCAAUUGAUUCAUCCUUCACAUCUCCAUCCAUCUGCGUUCUGUUUUGGAUUUCGAAGGGCUGCGUUCUGUAAGCUUAUUUUAUUCAAACAGUGAAUCAAAAACAACCUUCACUACUGGGUACUGACUGAAGGUUGCACCAAUCAAACAGGCCCACUUUGGAUUAUUAAAGCUUUGUUGAGAUACCUAUCUUCGGAAGAUGAUAGCGAUGAUGAUCUUGAUGAGGAUGUCGAAGAACAAUGUACUCGCAAACGUCGUAAAUUUAUUCGACGCAAUCAUAUUCAGGGACAUGAGCGUUUAUAUCGUGAUUAUUUUGCAGAAAAUCCAGUAUAUCCCUCGAAUCUGUUUCGACGGAGAUUUCGGAUGAGUCGUCCUCUAUUUCUCCGUAUUCUAAAUGAGGUUGUGGCUAACGAGCCAUACUUCGUCCAAAGAAGAGAUAAUAUCGGAAGACUCGGUUUAUCUUCUAUGCAAAAGAUAAUAUCGGAAGACUCGGUUAUAUUAGAUUGUUUUGUGAAUGUUAUGAGUUGGGUUUAGAAAUAUGUUAUGCGAUGUUCAUUAGAAUUAUAUAUGUAUGACUAGAACUUAUUAGCUCAACUUUUGUUAAAUGUGAAGGUUUAUGUUUAUCGAUUGUUCUGUAUUUUGAGUAGGAUCUAUCUUUCUCAUGGUAUGGUAAUAUUAACCUUGU